CUCUAACCCUGGAACAGAUGGAUAACGGACUCGAUGCUUUAUCUCCUCCUGACCACACUCUCCUUCUCCCCGCACUCACCGUCGGUUUUCCUUUCACCUCCAUUUUCCUUCAUCUUCACUUUCUUGCUCCUCAUCAUCUAAACUCUCAGAUCUUGAUUUACCUGUGCUCACCUGUGCGCUCUACCCUGUUUUCCCAGCACUUUUUUCACACUCCUUCUCAUGACUCCCACUGUUUAUUUUCCUCCUCUUUCCAUCCUCACACAUGGUGCUUCUUUUCUACUGUGUGUUUGUUUGUCAGCACUUCUCCUGGCUGAAUUUUGAGCUUUGUUAUCUGAAUAUCAGAGUGUAACAACGGCCGUGCCAAAAAGUGUAACACCCUGCGUCAAUUCCGGUUAUUGAACGGUGUUUAUUUAACAUUUUUCUACAUGCAUUGGCUCUUUUCCAAAUAUGACAUCUGAAAAAUACAGAAUUUUUGAUGCAGUGAUAUAAAAUAGAAAAAAGAGGAAAAUUAAAGGUGUAAUUCCCCUUUUUUCUUCAUGAUAACUUGCAAAAUACUAAACUAAACCUGGUUUUAAUGAUAAUUUAAUAAAAAAAAUAUAGUGUUUAUGAUAAAUCCUGUGACUCGGUUGAAUUGUUUCUAAUAAAAUGGUGACAAAGUCAUUAGUCAGAGUCUGAGUCAGCUCCUGCAUCUUUAAAUUAACAUUUCAUUGAAGCAGCAGAAUAAUAUUUUAGUAUGGUCUAAAUAACUCUCCAGAAUUCCCCCUCUUCUCUCCUCUUGUGUUAAUGCAUGGCAUCAUUAUAAACAUUUAUGCAGCGCAGGAGCCUCUCGUGCCAAAGGGGCUGACGCUCUUGCGGAUCGAACCUUUCGAUUGAUACUGAAACAAUUUGCAUACUGAUUCUCUUUCAGUGCGCACGGAUCCAUAACAACACCGGCCAGCUAUUCAAAUGCGCCUGCAUCGAGAAAAGCAGGGAGAGAAGCCCGGCACCGGAGCAGGAGGGAAACACGGGCUGUUUUUUACCGGACGGAUCAUUUGCUUAAACUUGAAGCGGAGAAGUCAUCUCCAUGCAGCCGCUGUGAGGAUGUUUACCGCAGGCUGGACUGUGUGUGGACUCCGAAGCUGGGGAUCGGAGGAGGAGGAGGACGAGGGAGAGAGAGGGUGGGACGGGAGAAACACACGGAGGAGACGCGCGGAUGUGAGCACGUCCCUCCGCUUCUUCUUCCAGCUCGUGUUUGUUGGAGUUAAAAGAGUCCAAGUAUAGGCUGUAGAUGUUUCAGCUCUGUGGUUGGGAGAGAGCUGGGCGGCUGUUAAAGAUGCAUGACAGAAACGGAUGCUGCGGUAAAGUCGGGGACUACAUCUGAGAGUGUGUGUGUGGGUGUGUUGGUGUGUGUGCGUCCUUUUGUACAGUGCGUGCGCGGUGUGUUUUCUGUGUGUGGCGCCGAGGAGAAGAGAAGUUUUAACGCAGACAUUUUGCACUCUGGCACCCUGUUGAGAAGAAAGAUGGAC
RNAcentral lists this long non-coding RNA (1505 nucleotides) under Xyrichtys novacula (pearly razorfish). Lineage: Eukaryota; Metazoa; Chordata; Actinopteri; Labriformes; Labridae. The record is from RNAcentral.